Molecule: ribosomal RNA, 424 nt
Filed under: uncultured bacterium
Lineage: Bacteria
Description: bacterial SSU rRNA
Rfam family: Bacterial small subunit ribosomal RNA
Source: RNAcentral
CAAGGAAUUUUGCGCAAUGGGGGGAACCCUGACGCAGCAACGCCGCGUGGAGGAUGAAGGCUUUCGGGUUGUAAACUCCUUUUCUGGGGGAAGAUAAUGACGGUACCCCAGGAAUAAGUCUCGGCUAACUACGUGCCAGCAGCCGCGGUAAUACGUAGGAGGCGAGCGUUGUCCGGAUUUACUGGGCGUAAAGAGCGCGUAGGCGGUUUUUUAAGUCUUGCGUGAAAUCUCCUGGCUUAACUGGGAGGGUGCGUGAGAUACUGAGAGGCUUGAGGGCAUCAGAGGAAAGCGGAACUCCCGGUGUAGUGGUGAAAUGCGUAGAUAUCGGGAAGAACACCAGUGGCGAAGGCGGCUUUCUGGGGUGUCACUGACGCUGAGGCGCGAAAGCGUGGGGAGCGAACCGGAUUAGAUACCCCCGUAGUCC